Long non-coding RNA from Solenopsis invicta (red fire ant), 574 nucleotides. RefSeq lists it as uncharacterized. The transcript is spliced from 3 exons. Lineage: Eukaryota; Metazoa; Arthropoda; Insecta; Hymenoptera; Formicidae. The record is from RefSeq and is a predicted model, not a curated record.
GAGAGUAAAAGUGAGAUGAGUUUGUCUGAGAUGGCUCAAAAUGCCUCGAGACUGGCAUUUGCUAGAAUCUGCUAGAAUUUGGGUCCCUUCCGUUCUGAAGUUCUUUAGCACCUUGUCCUCAGCCGGAUUACGAAAACUGCCCGUAGAUCUUCCUCGGAACCAUCAGAAAGUACAUCCAAUCGUCCAGAGCACACUUCACGGUGUCUCGUUAUAACGACUUUGAAUGCAACUCGGAGAAGCUGAAUGCCGAUUUUAGCGUACCAGAGUGGCUUGCCGCAACAUCUAUUCCAUUGAACUCAAGUGCGGAUAAGGAAAAAGUUCUAAAAUAUUGCGGCGUUAAUAUUGUUGAUCCUGCUAAUGUGAAAUAUUGCGAGAAAAGUAUGGCUGAAUGCAUAGAGGAAGUGAAUCAAUGUUCAGAAUCCAAUAAAGAGAAAGGUAGCAUGUGUGCUAACCAUGAGUGCGAUUGUAUUGACACAGAUACGCAAAAAAAAUAUUAAAAAAAAAUUGUCGAAAAUACAAAUGCAGCUAAUUCAGUAACUAUAUUUUACACUAAUUCUAUAAAAUUUUAUAAAAA